This 21-nucleotide non-coding RNA is filed under the name Caenorhabditis elegans. The record is from RNAcentral. Lineage: Eukaryota; Metazoa; Nematoda; Chromadorea; Rhabditida; Rhabditidae.
UCAAAGACACGCCCGAAUUAA